RNAcentral lists this long non-coding RNA (211 nucleotides) under Linum usitatissimum (flax). RNAcentral describes it as "long non-coding RNA (LUSI_LNC008032)". The record is from RNAcentral. Lineage: Eukaryota; Viridiplantae; Streptophyta; Magnoliopsida; Malpighiales; Linaceae.
AUGCCAACAAUCAAUUUGUAGUUUGAAAUAUUUUCGGGAGUGUUUAUUGUUCAACAUUUUAUUUAUGUUUUUUGUUUUAUAGAAAUUUUAGUUUUGGUAUUAGUAUUCGGGUAUUACUCGAUUAAACGGGAAACUCGUAAAUAGGUGGGGAAGAUUUUUAUAUUAUGCCCGUUUAGAUAAAGCGGGUGGGUAUGAAUAAAAAGGAUGAUAA